ACAUCCAGAGAAUUUAGCAGAGAUGCUUUAGUGCCUUCGGGAACUCUGAGACAGGUGCUGCAUGGCUGUCGUCAGCUCGUGUUGUGAAAUGUUGGGUUAAGUCCCGCAACGAGCGCAACCCUUAUCCUUUGUUGCCAGCACGUAAUGGUGGGAAACUCAAAGGAGACUGCCGGUGAUAAACCGGAGGAAGGUGGGGAUGACGUCAAGUCAUCAUGGCCCUUACGAGUAGGGCUACACACGUGCUACAAUGGCGCAUACAAAGAGACGCGACCUCGCGAGAGCAAGCGGACCUCAUAAAGUGCGUCGUAGUCCGGAUUGGAGUCUGCAACUCGACUCCAUGAAGUCGGAAUCGCUAGUAAUCGUAAAUCAGAAUGUUACGGUGAAUACGUUCCCGGGCCUUGUACACACCGCCCGUCACACCAUGGGAGUGGGUUGCAAAAGAAGUAGAUAGCUUAACCUUCGGGAGGGCGUUUACCACUUUGUGAUUCAUGACUGGGGUGAAGUCGUAACAAGGUAGGCGUAGUGCU
RNAcentral lists this ribosomal RNA (527 nucleotides) under uncultured bacterium. RNAcentral describes it as "bacterial SSU rRNA". It matches the Rfam family "Bacterial small subunit ribosomal RNA", at positions 984 to 1509 of the family's 1533-position model. The record is from RNAcentral.